GAAAUGCGAUAAGUAAUGUGAAUCGCAGAAUUCAGUGAAUCAUCGAAUCUUUGAACGCACAUUGCGCCCGCCAGUAUUCUGGCGGGCAUGCCUGUUCGAGCGUCAUUUCAACCAUCAAGCCCCCGGGCUUGUGUUGGGGACCUGCGGCUGCCGCAGGCCCCGAAAACCAGUGGCGGGCUCGCUGUCACACCGGGCGUAGUAGAUUUUUCGUCUCGCCCAGGGCGUGCUGCGGGUUCCGGCCGUUAAAAAGCCUCUCUUUUAACCCAAGGUUGACCUCGGAUCAGGUAGGAAGACCCGCUGAACUUAAGC
This 309-nucleotide unclassified non-coding RNA is filed under the name plant metagenome. Its description in RNAcentral is "partial contains 5.8S ribosomal RNA, internal transcribed spacer 2, and large subunit ribosomal RNA". The stretch from base 1 to 105 matches the Rfam family "5.8S ribosomal RNA", at positions 50 to 154 of the family's 154-position model. The record is from RNAcentral.